UUAGUACCAUGAUUCCAUGUUUGUAUUAUUCAACUGGGCUAUGGAAUUGAAACCUAACAAACUGAACCAAGAAAUGGGGCAGCAAAACCGUGGUCCUAAUGAAAGAUUACAGAAAAUAGAAGGAACACCAGUAGAAGCCAUCCAUGCGGUUGUUGAACGUUAAUAACAGUCAGGACAUAAUACAUUGAUGCUGCAUUCAAAGCUCUGCCGGUACCACGUGAAACAGAGUAAUGCACCUUAUACCAUCGGUCCUUCUCAAAUAAAGGAUUGAAUCCACCAAGGCUAUUGAUGAAUCAGGUCAAACAUUUAAUGCAGACAACAAAUUUAGGUUUCUAUGGUCAUAAAAGAGAGUAUGGACAGUGCAAUUUGAUCAAAUUAUGCUGCUGAUCAAUAGCGAGGUUUUGGUCAAGCUUGUUC
Molecule: long non-coding RNA, 417 nt
Filed under: Elaeis guineensis (African oil palm)
Lineage: Eukaryota; Viridiplantae; Streptophyta; Magnoliopsida; Arecales; Arecaceae
Description: long non-coding RNA (EGUI_LNC080108)
Source: RNAcentral